RNAcentral lists this ribosomal RNA (463 nucleotides) under uncultured bacterium. Its description in RNAcentral is "bacterial SSU rRNA". It matches the Rfam family "Bacterial small subunit ribosomal RNA", at positions 339 to 794 of the family's 1533-position model. The record is from RNAcentral.
CUACGGGAGGCAGCAGUAGGGAAUCUUCCGCAAUGGACGAAAGUCUGACGGAGCAACGCCGCGUGAGCGAAGAAGGCCUUCGGGUCGUAAAGCUCUGUUGUUAGGGAAGAACAAGUAUCGGAGUAACUGCCGGUACCUUGACGGUACCUAACCAGAAAGCCACGGCUAACUACGUGCCAGCAGCCGCGGUAAUACGUAGGUGGCAAGCGUUGUCCGGAAUUAUUGGGCGUAAAGCGCGCGCAGGCGGUCCUUUAAGUCUGAUGUGAAAGCCCACGGCUCAACCGUGGAGGGUCAUUGGAAACUGGGGGACUUGAGUGCAGAAGAGGAGAGUGGAAUUCCACGUGUAGCGGUGAAAUGCGUAGAGAUGUGGAGGAACACCAGUGGCGAAGGCGACUCUCUGGUCUGUAACUGACGCUGAGGCGCGAAAGCGUGGGGAGCAAACAGGAUUAGAUACCCCGGUAGG